GUGCCAGCCGCCGCGGUAAUACCGGCAGCUCGAGUGAUGUCCAAUGUUAUUGGGCCUAAAGCGUCCGUAGCUGGCCGCGCAAGUCCAUCGGAAAAUCCACCCGCCCAACGGGUGGGCGUCCGGUGGAAACUGUGUGGCUUGGGACCGGAAGGCGCGACGGGUACGUCCGGGGUAGGAGUGAAAUCCCGUAAUCCUGGACGGACCGCCGAUGGCGAAAGCACUUCGAGAAAACGGAUCCGACAGUGAGGGACGAAAGCCAGGGUCUCCAACCGGAUUAGAUACCCGAGUAGUCC
Molecule: ribosomal RNA, 293 nt
Filed under: uncultured bacterium
Lineage: Bacteria
Description: partial 16S ribosomal RNA
Rfam family: Archaeal small subunit ribosomal RNA
Source: RNAcentral